AAGGUUAGCGGCGGACGGGUGAGUAACACGUGGGCAACCUGCCUGUAAGACUGGGAUAACAUCGGGAAACCGAUGCUAAUACCGGAUAAUCCUUUUCCUCUCAUGAGGAAAAGCUGAAAGUCGGUUUACGCUGACACUUACAGAUGGGCCCGCGGCGCAUUAGCUAGUUGGUGAGGUAACGGCUCACCAAGGCGACGAUGCGUAGCCGACCUGAGAGGGUGAUCGGCCACACUGGGACUGAGACACGGCCCAUACUCCUACGGGAGGCAGCAGUAGGGAAUCUUCCACAAUGGACGAAAGUCUGAUGGAGCAACGCCGCGUGAGCGAUGAAGGCCUUCGGGUCGUAAAGCUCUGUUGUUAGGGAAGAACAAGUAUCGGAGUAACUGCCGGUACCUUGACGGUACCUAACCAGAAAGCCACGGCUAACUACGUGCCAGCAGCCCGCGGUAAUACGUAGGUGGCAAGCGUUGUCCGGAAUUAUUGGGCGUAAAGCGCGCGCAGGCGGUCCUUUAAGUCUGAUGUGAAAGCCCACGGCUCAACCGUGGAGGGUCAUUGGAAACUGGGGGACUUGAGUGCAGAAGAAGAAAGCGGAAUUCCACGUGUAGCGGUGAAAUGCGUAGAGAUGUGGAGGAACACCAGUGGCGAAGGCGGCUUUCUGGUCUGUAACUGACGCUGAGGCGCGAAAGCGUGGGGAGCAAACAGGAUUAGAUCCCCUGGUAGUC
Molecule: ribosomal RNA, 722 nt
Filed under: Bacillus sp. IDA2021
Lineage: Bacteria; Bacillati; Bacillota; Bacilli; Caryophanales; Bacillaceae
Description: bacterial SSU rRNA
Rfam family: Bacterial small subunit ribosomal RNA
Source: RNAcentral